Non-coding RNA from Pogona vitticeps (central bearded dragon), 931 nucleotides. Lineage: Eukaryota; Metazoa; Chordata; Lepidosauria; Squamata; Agamidae. The record is from RefSeq and is a predicted model, not a curated record.
CGUUGUUCUUUCCGACUGAGGGGAGACUCACCAUUCGGUGGGGGGGAGGCUUCGGCUUCCAGUUGUGUACCCCCAAAUUCGUAUCAGGGGUGCCAUGUUUUUAUGUCUUCCUGGACUAGGAGGACCAGAGUCUGAGAUUCAAGGAGGGCAGGGGACAUACGCCCCAUUUCUGCACUUUCCUUGAAAUAUGUUGGGGAGAAAAGGGAAGAUACCCCUUACCCCCCUCCCCCCGUUUUGGAGUGCCUUCCCUAUAUGAAUUGGGGGCAUCAAACAAGAAAGAGACGUAAUGCCGGGUCGGAGAUGAGCGAAAUGGUGGCAUACCUCAUUCCCUUGACUCCAAUUGUCGUAUUCUUUGAAUGUUUACCAGUUCCAUAACUAACGGCUUUUAAGAGUAAUACACAAUUUUUAAAGAUCGCAUUGGGUUGUGAUAACUGAGAAGUCCGAGAUGAAAGUAGAAGACAACACAUUAAUAGCCUCAGAUACGUUGAAGACUGGACAUAUUGAAGAACUGGCUAUGUAAAGCACUUGAUCUGGCUUCAACCUUUAAUCCAGACAAAGGAAGAAUCUCAAAGAGAAUCCACGAGUUCCAAGUCAAGAUGGCAGUACCACUGGUUGAGAGGUUGAGGAAAUGAACUAAUGCAUGAUUGCUGAGUAUGUCCAUCCGAGACAGGGACACUUAGCAUGGACUACGGUGUUGUCUAAACCAGAGAAGAUUUGGGCCAAUGAUCAUCUGAUAAAUGAUUAUUUUUUAAAAAGUAAAUGGUUCCAGACUCACUUAUAUGCAACAACUGUCUUGGGGUUAUUGGAGGGAUGAAAUGGAUUGUUUGAAUUUUUCAACCAGGAAUGUAUGUGUAUGUUCAUUCCUAAUUUACUGGUCAAAAGUGCAAUGCUCUUUUAAGUGGCUUAAAUAAAGGUGUUUUUUACAUUUUUA